CGAAUGCUGACGUGAGUAACGACAAAACGGGUGAAAAACCCGUUCGCCGAAAGACCAAGGGUUCCAGUCCAACGUUAAUCGGGGCUGGGUGAGUCGACCCCUAAGGCGAGGCCGAAAGGCGUAGUCGAUGGGAAAAUGGUUAAUAUUCCAUUACUUCUGUGUAAUGCGAUGAGAGGACGGAGAAGGCUAAAUCAGCCUGGCGUUGGUUGUCCAGGUGAAAGGAUGUAGGCAUGUAUCUUAGGCAAAUCCGGGGUACUCUAUGCUGAGAUCUGAUAGCAAGCUGUACUUGUACAGCGAAGUGGUUGAUGCCAUGCUUCCAGGAAAAGUCUCUAAGCUUCAGUUACACAGGAAUCGUACCCGAAACCGACACAGGUGGUCAGGUCGAGUAGACCAAGGCGCUUGAGAGAACUCUGCUGAAGGAACUAGGCAAAAUGGUACCGUAACUUCGGGAGAAGGUACGCUGUUGUUGGUGAUGGAACUCGCUUCCUGAGCUGACGACAGCCGCAGAAACCAGGCCGCUGCAACUGUUUAUUAAAAACAUAGCACUCUGCAAACACGAAAGUGGACGUAUAGGGUGUGAUGCCUGCCCGGUGCUGGAAGGUUAAUUGAUGGGGUUAGCGUAAGCGAAGCUCUUGAUCGAAGCCCCAGUAAACGGCGGCCGUAACUAUAACGGUCCUAAGGUAGCGAAAUUCCUUGUCGGGUAAGUUCCGACCUGCACGAAUGGCAUAAUGAUGGCGGCGCUGUCUCCAGCAGAGGCUCAGUGAAAUCGAAAUCGCUGUGAAGAUGCAGUGUACCCGCGGCUAGACGGAAAGACCCCGUGAACCUUUACUGCAGCUUGACACUGAACUUUGACCUUACUUGUGUAGGAUAGGUGGGAGGCUUUGAAGCUGGAACGCUAGUUCCAGUGGAGCCGUCCUUGAAAUACCACCCUGGUAAUGUUGAGGUUCUAACUCUGUCCCGUGAUCCGGGACGAGGACCGUGUCUGGUGGGUAGUUUGACUGGGGCGGUCUCCUCCUAAAGAGUAACGGAGGAGUACGAAGGUGCGCUCAGCGUGGUCGGAAAUCACGCGUAGAGUAUAAAGGCAAAAGCGCGCUUAACUGCGAGACCCACAAGUCGAGCAGGUACGAAAGUAGGUCUUAGUGAUCCGGUGGUUCUGUAUGGAAGGGCCAUCGCUCAACGGAUAAAAGGUACUCUGGGGAUAACAGGCUGAUACCGCCCAAGAGUUCAUAUCGACGGCGGUGUUUGGCACCUCGAUGUCGGCUCAUCUCAUCCUGGGGCUGAAGCAGGUCCCAAGGGUAUGGCUGUUCGCCAUUUAAAGAGGUACGCGAGCUGGGUUUAGAACGUCGUGAGACAGUUCGGUCCCUAUCUACCGUGGGCGCUGGAAAUUUGAGAGGAUCUGCUCCUAGUACGAGAGGACCAGAGUGGACGAACCUCUGGUG
This 1439-nucleotide ribosomal RNA is filed under the name Acinetobacter baumannii. Its description in RNAcentral is "partial 23S ribosomal RNA". It matches the Rfam family "Bacterial large subunit ribosomal RNA", at positions 1291 to 2714 of the family's 2925-position model. The record is from RNAcentral. Lineage: Bacteria; Pseudomonadati; Pseudomonadota; Gammaproteobacteria; Moraxellales; Moraxellaceae.